This 633-nucleotide ribosomal RNA is filed under the name uncultured bacterium. RNAcentral describes it as "bacterial SSU rRNA". The stretch from base 1 to 522 matches the Rfam family "Bacterial small subunit ribosomal RNA", at positions 338 to 873 of the family's 1533-position model. The record is from RNAcentral.
CCUACGGGAGGCAGCAGUGGGGAAUAUUGCACAAUGGGCGCAAGCCUGAUGCAGCAACGCCGCGUGAGGGACGAAGGCCUUCGGGUUGUAAACCUCUUUUAGUAGGGAAGAAGCGAAAGUGACGGUACCUGCAGAAAAAGCACCGGCUAACUACGUGCCAGCAGCCGCGGUAAUACGUAGGGUGCAAGCGUUAUCCGGAAUUAUUGGGCGUAAAGAGCUCGUAGGCGGUUUGUCGCGUCUGCUGUGAAAACUGGAGGCUCAACCUCCAGCCUGCAGUGGGUACGGGCAAACUAGAGUGCGGUAGGGGAGAUUGGAAUUCCUGGUGUAGCGGUGGAAUGCGCAGAUAUCAGGAGGAACACCGAUGGCGAAGGCAGAUCUCUGGGCCGUAACUGACGCUGAGGAGCGAGAGCAUGGGGAGCGAACAGGAUUAGAUACCCUGGUAGUCCAUGCCGUAAACGUUGGGAACUAGAUGUGGGGGCCAUUCCACGGCUUCCGUGUCGCNGCACGACAUAGUUACCCGUCCGUCGGGAGGUACGGCCGGCCGACGGAACGUAAACGUAACUUAAAUUAGUAAGUUAGUUACGGCGUUGAGGACGUCGCCGACGGACGACCGACCGACGGGGAGGAGGGAGG